GUGGGGAAUAUUGCACAAUGGACGAAAGUCUGAUGCAGCAACGCCGCGUGCGCGAUGAAGGCCUUCGGGUCGUAAAGCGCUUUUCGGGAGGAUGAGGAAGGACAGUACUCCCGGAAUAAGUCACGGCUAACUACGUGCCAGCAGCCGCGGUAAAACGUAGGUGGCGAGCGUUAUCCGGAUUUACUGGGCGUAAAGCGCGUUCAGGCGGUCUGGCAAGUCGGGCAUGAAAUCUCCGAGCUCAACUCGGAGAGGUUGUCCGAUACUGCUGGACUUGAGGACAGUAGAGGAGGGUGGAAUUCCGAGUGUAGCGGUAAAAUGCGUAGAUAUUCGGAGGAACACCAGUGGCGAAGGCGGCCCUCUGGACUGCUCCUGACGCUCAAACGCGAAGGCCAGGGGAGAGAACGGGAUUAGAUACCCGAGUAGUCC
This 426-nucleotide ribosomal RNA is filed under the name uncultured bacterium. RNAcentral describes it as "bacterial SSU rRNA". It matches the Rfam family "Bacterial small subunit ribosomal RNA", at positions 354 to 796 of the family's 1533-position model. The record is from RNAcentral.